GGAGAUAAGGCUCCAAGAGCAUUUGACUGUACAUCACAAGGUCCCUGGUUCAAAUCCAGGUGCCCCUU
RNAcentral lists this transfer RNA (68 nucleotides) under Ornithorhynchus anatinus (platypus). It matches the Rfam family "tRNA". From Rfam's summary of the family: Transfer RNA (tRNA) molecules are approximately 80 nucleotides in length. Their secondary structure includes four short double-helical elements and three loops (D, anti-codon, and T loops). The record is from Rfam by way of RNAcentral. Lineage: Eukaryota; Metazoa; Chordata; Mammalia; Monotremata; Ornithorhynchidae.